AUGAUUGAUCGUUUCCAGGGGGAGGAGAUGGUGUACCACAGCUUCGAUUCGGUAGAAGACGACCCACAUAACUACUAUCCACCAGAAUUCCUAAACACUCUCACCCCAAAUGGACUGCCUCCACAUAUGUUGAAGCUCAAAUUAAUUGCCCAAUCAUACUACUCAGAAACAUCGACCCUGCUAAUGGACUAUGCAACGACACGAAGUUGGUCGUACGUGGAUUUCAAAAAAAUACAAUUGACGCGAAGAUUGUGGUGGGACAACACUCUGGAAUGCGAGUUUCCUGCCCAGGAUACCAUUAUGCCCCUCUGA
RNAcentral lists this ribosomal RNA (312 nucleotides) under Triticum aestivum (bread wheat). RNAcentral's name for it is "partial small subunit ribosomal RNA". The record is from RNAcentral. Lineage: Eukaryota; Viridiplantae; Streptophyta; Magnoliopsida; Poales; Poaceae.